RNAcentral lists this ribosomal RNA (464 nucleotides) under uncultured bacterium. RNAcentral describes it as "partial 16S ribosomal RNA". It matches the Rfam family "Bacterial small subunit ribosomal RNA", at positions 28 to 507 of the family's 1533-position model. The record is from RNAcentral.
GACGAACGCUGGCGGCGUGCUUAACACAUGCAAGUCGAACGGAAAGGCCCAGCUUGCUGGGUGCUCGAGUGGCGAACGGGUGAGUAACACGUGGGUGAUCUGCCUCUAACUUCGGGAUAAGCUCGGGAAACUGGGUCUAAUACCGGAUAGGACAAUCGUUUAGUGUCGGUUGUGGAAAGUUUUUUCGGUUAGGGAUGAGCCCGCGGCCUAUCAGCUUGUUGGUGGGGUAAUGGCCUACCAAGGCGUCGACGGGUAGCCGGCCUGAGAGGGUGGACGGCCACAUUGGGACUGAGAUACGGCCCAGACUCCUACGGGAGGCAGCAGUGGGGAAUAUUGCACAAUGGGCGCAAGCCUGAUGCAGCGACGCCGCGUGGGGGAUGACGGCCUUCGGGUUGUAAACCUCUUUCGACAGGGACGAAGCUUUGGUGACGGUACCUGUAUAAGAAGCACCGGCUAACUACGUG